GGAGGUGUAGCUCAGUGGUAGAGAGCUUGCCUGGCGCAUGCAUGAGACACUGGGUUCGAUCCUCAGCACCACAU
RNAcentral lists this transfer RNA (74 nucleotides) under Marmota marmota marmota (Alpine marmot). It matches the Rfam family "tRNA". From Rfam's summary of the family: Transfer RNA (tRNA) molecules are approximately 80 nucleotides in length. Their secondary structure includes four short double-helical elements and three loops (D, anti-codon, and T loops). The record is from Rfam by way of RNAcentral. RNAcentral also lists the same sequence under 1 other name. Lineage: Eukaryota; Metazoa; Chordata; Mammalia; Rodentia; Sciuridae.